UACAGAGGUCCCGAGCGUUGUUCGGAAUUACUGGGCGUAAAGCGUGCGCAGACGGUUGCGUAAGUCAGAUGUGAAAGCCCCGGGCUCAACCUGGGAAUUGCAUUUGAGACUGCGUAGCUAGGGUGCGGAAGAGGGAAGCGGAAUUUCCGGUGUAGCGGUGAAAUGCGUAGAUAUCGGAAGGAACACCAGUGGCGAAAGCGGCUUCCUGGUCCAGCACCGACGUUCAGGCACGAAAGCGUGGGGAGCAAACAGG
This 253-nucleotide ribosomal RNA is filed under the name uncultured bacterium. Its description in RNAcentral is "partial 16S ribosomal RNA". It matches the Rfam family "Bacterial small subunit ribosomal RNA", at positions 524 to 776 of the family's 1533-position model. The record is from RNAcentral.